Molecule: unclassified non-coding RNA, 416 nt
Filed under: soil metagenome
Description: partial contains 5.8S ribosomal RNA, internal transcribed spacer 2, and large subunit ribosomal RNA
Rfam family: 5.8S ribosomal RNA (bases 1-120)
Source: RNAcentral
GAUGAAGAACGUAGCGAAAUGCGAUAAGUAAUGUGAAUUGCAGAAUUCAGUGAAUCAUCGAAUCUUUGAACGCACCUUGCACUCCUUGGUAUUCCGAGGAGUACGCCUGUUCGAGUGUUAUGAAGCUCUCAAAAUGCAAUUGGCUUAAAACCUGAUUGUUGUUUUGGAUUUGAACUUUGCCGUGUUAUAACGGCUGGUUUUAAAAGUAUUAGCUGGUACUAGAACGAAUUGGUUCUACUCAACGUGAUAAUUAACUGAUCGUUGAGGACAUUCCUUUCACGAGGAAUGGCCAUAGUAAAUUCAAUGGACUGCUUCUAAUCUGGCUUUAAUUCUUUAUUGGAUUAACCACUUUUCAAAUCUGACCUCGAAUCAGGUGGGACUACCCGCUGAACUUAAGCAUAUCAAUAAGCGGAGGA